This 627-nucleotide ribosomal RNA is filed under the name Triticum aestivum (bread wheat). RNAcentral's name for it is "partial small subunit ribosomal RNA". Lineage: Eukaryota; Viridiplantae; Streptophyta; Magnoliopsida; Poales; Poaceae. The record is from RNAcentral.
AUGGAUGGGAAGUACAAGCCUAUACAAAGAGCAAGAGCGUUCUAUAAAAAUGCCAUGAAUUACCACCGGUUCCAUGCUGAUAUGUUUUUGGGUGUCAUUGAUAGGCAACUUCAAGAGCUUAAUAACAGGUUUGAUGAGGUAAACACGGAGCUACUUAGAUGCAUGGCAUCUUUCAGUCCAGCCAAGUCAUUUUCUUCUUUUAAUAUUGAUGACCUAGUUAAGCUUGCUGGGUUCUAUCCUCAUGAUUUUGACUUUGAAGAAAUGCAUCAACUUCCUUUUCAAUUGAAUCUCUAUAUUAGUGAUGUGAGGAAUGAUGAAAACUUUACAAACUUGAGAAGUCUAGCAGAGUUGUCUAUGAUGCUUGUUAGAACAGGGAGGGCUCUUCGGUAUGAUAUUGUUUACAAACUUCUCAAAUUGGUGCUAGUCCUUCCUGUAGCAACAGCCGGUGUUGAGAGGGUCUUUUCAUCAAUGAACUAUAUAAAAAACAAGCUAAGAAGCAAGAUGGGGCAAAAAUACUUGAAUAAUUGCUUGGUCACAUUCAUUGAAAGGGAUUUCUUCUUGCAAGUUAAGGAUGAGGACAUUAUCACUCAUUUUGAAAGCAUCAAGGAUCGCAAAGUUAUCCUGUGA